RNAcentral lists this ribosomal RNA (1470 nucleotides) under Vibrio owensii. RNAcentral describes it as "bacterial SSU rRNA". It matches the Rfam family "Bacterial small subunit ribosomal RNA". Lineage: Bacteria; Pseudomonadati; Pseudomonadota; Gammaproteobacteria; Vibrionales; Vibrionaceae. The record is from RNAcentral.
AUUGAACGCUGGCGGCAGGCCUAACACAUGCAAGUCGAGCGGAAACGAGUUAUCUGAACCUUCGGGGGACGAUAACGGCGUCGAGCGGCGGACGGGUGAGUAAUGCCUAGGAAAUUGCCCUGAUGUGGGGGAUAACCAUUGGAAACGAUGGCUAAUACCGCAUAAUGCCUACGGGCCAAAGAGGGGGACCUUCGGGCCUCUCGCGUCAGGAUAUGCCUAGGUGGGAUUAGCUAGUUGGUGAGGUAAUGGCUCACCAAGGCGACGAUCCCUAGCUGGUCUGAGAGGAUGAUCAGCCACACUGGAACUGAGACACGGUCCAGACUCCUACGGGAGGCAGCAGUGGGGAAUAUUGCACAAUGGGCGCAAGCCUGAUGCAGCCAUGCCGCGUGUGUGAAGAAGGCCUUCGGGUUGUAAAGCACUUUCAGUCGUGAGGAAGGUGGUGUAGUUAAUAGCUGCAUUAUUUGACGUUAGCGACAGAAGAAGCACCGGCUAACUCCGUGCCAGCAGCCGCGGUAAUACGGAGGGUGCGAGCGUUAAUCGGAAUUACUGGGCGUAAAGCGCAUGCAGGUGGUUUGUUAAGUCAGAUGUGAAAGCCCGGGGCUCAACCUCGGAAUAGCAUUUGAAACUGGCAGACUAGAGUACUGUAGAGGGGGGUAGAAUUUCAGGUGUAGCGGUGAAAUGCGUAGAGAUCUGAAGGAAUACCGGUGGCGAAGGCGGCCCCCUGGACAGAUACUGACACUCAGAUGCGAAAGCGUGGGGAGCAAACAGGAUUAGAUACCCUGGUAGUCCACGCCGUAAACGAUGUCUACUUGGAGGUUGUGGCCUUGAGCCGUGGCUUUCGGAGCUAACGCGUUAAGUAGACCGCCUGGGGAGUACGGUCGCAAGAUUAAAAUCAAAUGAAUUGACGGGGGCCCGCACAAGCGGUGGAGCAUGUGGUUUAAUUCGAUGCAACGCGAAGAACCUUACCUACUCUUGACAUCCAGAGAACUUUCCAGAGAUGGAUUGGUGCCUUCGGGAACUCUGAGACAGGUGCUGCAUGGCUGUCGUCAGCUCGUGUUGUGAAAUGUUGGGUUAAGUCCCGCAACGAGCGCAACCCUUAUCCUUGUUUGCCAGCGAGUAAUGUCGGGAACUCCAGGGAGACUGCCGGUGAUAAACCGGAGGAAGGUGGGGACGACGUCAAGUCAUCAUGGCCCUUACGAGUAGGGCUACACACGUGCUACAAUGGCGCAUACAGAGGGCAGCAAGCUAGCGAUAGUGAGCGAAUCCCAAAAAGUGCGUCGUAGUCCGGAUUGGAGUCUGCAACUCGACUCCAUGAAGUCGGAAUCGCUAGUAAUCGUGGAUCAGAAUGCCACGGUGAAUACGUUCCCGGGCCUUGUACACACCGCCCGUCACACCAUGGGAGUGGGCUGCAAAAGAAGUAGGUAGUUUAACCUUCGGGAGGACGCUUACCACUUUGUGGUUCAUGACUGG